Molecule: ribosomal RNA, 491 nt
Filed under: uncultured bacterium
Lineage: Bacteria
Description: partial 16S ribosomal RNA
Rfam family: Bacterial small subunit ribosomal RNA
Source: RNAcentral
AUUGAACGCUGGCGGCAUGCUUUACACAUGCAAGUCGAACGGUAACAGGCCUUCGGGUGCUGACGAGUGGCGAACGGGUGAGUAAUGCAUCGGAACGUGCCCAGAGGUGGGGGAUAACGCAGCGAAAGCUGUGCUAAUACCGCAUGUGAUCUGAGGAUGAAAGCGGGGGACCAGGCAGCAAUGUUUGGCCUCGCGCCUUUGGAGCGGCCGAUGUCAGAUUAGGUAGUUGGUGGGGUAAAGGCCUACCAAGCCGACGAUCUGUAGCUGGUCUGAGAGGACGACCAGCCACACUGGGACUGAGACACGGCCCAGACUCCUACGGGAGGCAGCAGUGGGGAAUUUUGGACAAUGGGCGCAAGCCUGAUCCAGCAAUGCCGCGUGCGGGAAGAAGGCCUUCGGGUUGUAAACCGCUUUUGUACGGAACGAAAAGGCUCUGGCUAAUACCUGGGCUGAUGACGGUACCGUAAGAAUAAGCACCGGCUAACUACGUG